UACGUAGGUCCCGAGCGUUGUCCGGAUUUAUUGGGCGUAAAGCGAGCGCAGGCGGUUAGAUAAGUCUGAAGUUAAAGGCUGUGGCUUAACCAUAGUACGCUUUGGAAACUGUUUAACUUGAGUGCAGAAGGGGAGAGUGGAAUUCCAUGUGUAGCGGUGAAAUGCGUAGAUAUAUGGAGGAACACCGGUGGCGAAAGCGGCUCUCUGGUCUGUAACUGACGCUGAGGCUCGAAAGCGUGGGGAGCGAACAGG
Molecule: ribosomal RNA, 252 nt
Filed under: uncultured bacterium
Lineage: Bacteria
Description: partial 16S ribosomal RNA
Rfam family: Bacterial small subunit ribosomal RNA
Source: RNAcentral